RNAcentral lists this small nucleolar RNA (91 nucleotides) under Meriones unguiculatus (Mongolian gerbil). RNAcentral's name for it is "Small nucleolar RNA SNORA17 (ENSMUGG00000025792.1)". It matches the Rfam family "Small nucleolar RNA SNORA17", at positions 42 to 132 of the family's 132-position model. Rfam says of the family: snoRNA ACA 17 belongs to the H/ACA family of snoRNAs and is predicted to guide pseudouridylation of the 28S rRNA at positions U4659 and U4598. It shares the same host gene together with ACA43. The record is from RNAcentral. Lineage: Eukaryota; Metazoa; Chordata; Mammalia; Rodentia; Muridae.
UGUGCGUCUUUAGGUGGCAGAGAGCAGAGAGGCUGUGUCUACUCUCAGUGCUCUGACCUGUGAACAUCUGAAUGAUUAGUAGCCUCCCAUU